Long non-coding RNA from Microplitis demolitor, 551 nucleotides. RefSeq lists it as uncharacterized. The record is from RefSeq and is a predicted model, not a curated record. The transcript is spliced from 3 exons. Lineage: Eukaryota; Metazoa; Arthropoda; Insecta; Hymenoptera; Braconidae.
UUUAAUUAAAAAGUGAUAUUUUUUAAAUAGAUUCCCAAUGGAUUUCAACGAUGAAAAAUUCUUUCUGACGCCUUGACUGGAAGGAAGGACGAGACUGAACAACACUGACCUACCUCAAGGAGCUGCUAGUUGUCAACCUACCAGCUGAUCAUCUGGCAUCGUUCGGCAGGGAAAUAAAGUUAUUUCCCUGUUGAGGUUUAGGUUUAUGAUAUGGAUGAUUUUUUCCUAUAUCAUUUAUGACGUGUCUAAUCAAGAGUCCAAUGGAAUCUAUUGACAUGACUGGCCUAUUAGGACCAGAAUAAUUUUUUGGACAGUAAUGUUGCUGAACAUUGAGGACAAGGUGUUGCCGAGCCAAGGACACACCGCUGCUUUUAAUUUUUUUUCUGUUUCAGAUCCAGUCAACGAGAAUGAGGAUAUCCAUGGGUGCCAAGGAAUACCGAGACCAGGAGAAGGAGGACCAGGACCAAGAAGAAGAUCAAUUAUUUAUUUAAUUAAUUUAAUUAUUUAUUUUUAUUAUUUAUACUUAAUUUGUAUUUUUUAUAUUUAUUUAG